GGCCUAUCGUUCGUUGAUUACGAGUUCGUGUUAAAAAGAGUACAAGUAACGUACAAGAACGAAAUAUGUACAUGACUACGAGUGUCUGCCAUGUGAAACUAUGAAUGGGCCAUGCAUGUGUAUGAUUGGGCCAACUGCUAAACUACGUAGCACCUGCUAUCUAGGAAGGAUUUUUAUGUCGAAAUCAUGAUGGGGCCAUAUGUAGUAAAUCGUUCUGCUUCUCUUCCAAUUUGCACCAUCUGCACAUUUCUGUUUUAUCAUGUCUACUGCUUGACAUUUAAAGACAAUGAUUGUGAGCUGUAGUAGGGUCAAUGUUUGUACAAAAUAUUUUUUCCGUUUGUAACAAUUCGUGUUAGAUAUUUAGUGCCAUGUGUACGAAUCAAACUUUUUGAAAUUCUAGUUGCGUCUAUAUAUCAUGCAUUUUCUCGUCGUUCCAUAUUGAUUGUCAUUGUGAAAAAAAAUCCUAGGGCCAUGUGUACAAAACUGUCAUCGCCGUUUUUAAGAUAUUUCUGCCAAACCCAAUUUUUCUUGCGUUAUCUUCUGUACUUAUGUGACAGAUUAUUUACAGGAUUCCAGGGCCAUGUGAACAUGGCUUUGUUUUUGUAAAAAAAUCUUUCCAAUUUAUUAUGCGAAAUUAUUUAGGGCCAUGUGAAGUAGUGUAGAGAUCUUCUAUUCCUCGGUUCUGUAGAAAUUUCUGCAAUUUUCUUGAAAGCUGCUUGUGCAUUCAUCCCGUCUUGAGUGCGAAUAAUCGUGGAAUAUACUCUAGGGUCAUGUGUUAAAUAUCCAUAGCUAUUUUGAAGCUUAAAAAAAGCUCAAAUGUUGGAUCUAAGAUUUCUUGUAUACUCUGUAUAUUCCUCACCUGUUGUAACUUCAACGUGGUUAAUGGAGUGAAGUACUCUAUAGGGCCAUGUUUAAGAAUCUAGUUUAUUUGUCUAUGUGACAAAAUUUUCUUGGAGAUUAUUGUUUAAAAACGCUCUACACGUAUAGGGCCAUGUGCAGAUCUUACAGAUUCAUUGAAACAUGUAGCGGUCGUGAAACGUAAUCAGAAUGAUGGUUUCAACGAUUCCACGAUUAUGUUGUGACAUGAAAUAGUCUCUGAUCCUUGUCGAAACGUGUUUUAUGGACAUGAAGUAUUGUUUGUGAUUUAUUCUUCCAUAAUAUCCGAUUCGCAAAGAUUGAUAAUUGCCUUUUGUGUUAGGGCCAUUGUGUCAUUUUUGUUUAAUGUUAAAUCAGGUGUAAUGACACCUGUAGCGUCGGAUACACCUUGUAAUCGCUCUGUAAAGUGUAUAGCCUGAAUUUACAGGAUGAAACAUUGUGCAUUAAUUAAUUUAACAACCACAACACCAGUGGAGGAUUUGAUCGAUGGUUCAUUUGAAUACUGAUAAGUCCGAUCCAUAGAGCUAUAUUAAAUUUAAUAUAGCUCUAUGGUCCGAUCACAGCUGGUCGGCAAUGUGAAUGUUAAUUUCCCUUUGAACCGCGUUGCGCGUCGGUGGAUGCGCGUUGCUUUGCGCAAACUGGAAUAUCAUCUUCGCGACCAGUAGGCCAAAUUAUCUAUUUAGAAUAAACUAAGCUUUCAUUCUCAACGGUUGAAUCCAUUACAGUGGUCAGGUAAGGGCCACUAAUUGGAUUAUUUUCACUGUCUGUAUGUAAGAUACUUUGCAUCCAAUUAGGCUUAGAGAUCUAAGUAGCGUAGACCUAAACUAAGUUUCCCUUUUUUUUCCCUCUAUGGUUGCAUCUUUAUAUUGGUCAGGUAAGGACUACUAAUAUACGUUUCCUUCUCUUUAUACCACGGCACCGGUCACAAAUUUGAUCAGGAAUCCACUGUACAUUGUAGUUACACAAGCUAGCUCCGCUAGGAAGACUUCUUUUAUUUUCAGCAACUUGCAAUUAGAUUAGGAGGACCGGCAAGCCAGAGUGCUCAUGUCAGGAGCUGCUGACACGGAGGAACCGGAAACAGGGAGGAGGAACUCCGGAUGACUGAAGACCCUGCUUGCCGGGCAUCCCAUUACUGAUUUCCCAGAGAUGACGGUCUGCAAGAUGAGAUUUCAUUCUGGACGAAGAUACAAUCACUUCUGAAUCCCAAGGAACCGGAAGCAGGGAGAAGUACCGACGGAAGGACUGAUGACCUGCUUGCAGAGCAAGUCUUCACCAAUUCUUGAGAUUCCUCUUGUUUCGUGUAAGCAGCAGAGACGAUGACAAUAUACAUAACAGCUAGAGUGCAGUUGUUCACCAAGGCAGGAGCACGAAUUUUAGCAACAUUCGACUGAGUUUUACAAUAGCUAGCUCCUUAAAGUUCCCAUAAGUUUCUCUUAAAAAGUCGUCACAUUUUAUUAAUCCGAGGGAUGUAUAAAGACACCAUCCCAUUCAAAAUCCUUUCGAAAACCUGCUGGAUAAAUUUAAAAACUGUAUAGGC
This is a long non-coding RNA of Patiria miniata (bat star), 2413 nucleotides long. RefSeq lists it as uncharacterized. The record is from RefSeq and is a predicted model, not a curated record. Lineage: Eukaryota; Metazoa; Echinodermata; Asteroidea; Valvatida; Asterinidae. The transcript has 3 exons.